Molecule: ribosomal RNA, 492 nt
Filed under: uncultured bacterium
Lineage: Bacteria
Description: partial 16S ribosomal RNA
Rfam family: Bacterial small subunit ribosomal RNA
Source: RNAcentral
AGUGAACGCUGGCGGUAGGCCUAACACAUGCAAGUCGAACGGCAGCACAGUAAGAGCUUGCUCUUACGGGUGGCGAGUGGCGGACGGGUGAGGAAUACAUCGGAAUCUACUUUUUCGUGGGGGAUAACGUAGGGAAACUUACGCUAAUACCGCAUACUACCUACGGGUGAAAGCAGGGGAUCUUCGGACCUUGCGCGAUUGAAUGAGGCGAUGUCGGAUUAGCUAGUUGGCGGGGUAAAGGCCCACCAAGGCGACGAUCCGUAGCUGGUCUGAGAGGAUGAUCAGCGACACUGGAACUGAGACACGGUCCAGACUCCUACGGGAGGCAGCAGUGGGGAAUAUUGGACAAUGGGCGCAAGCCUGAUCCAGCCAUACCGCGUGGGUGAAGAAGGCCUUCGGGUUGUAAAGCCCUUUUGUUGGGAAAGAAAAGCAGCAGGUUAAUACCCCGCUGUUCUGACGGUACCCAAAGAAUAAGCACCGGCUAACUUCGUG